Molecule: ribosomal RNA, 588 nt
Filed under: Triticum aestivum (bread wheat)
Lineage: Eukaryota; Viridiplantae; Streptophyta; Magnoliopsida; Poales; Poaceae
Description: partial small subunit ribosomal RNA
Source: RNAcentral
AUGAACUGCCUGCUCUGGUUCUUUUAUGGGCUCCCCAUCGUCCACCCCAACAGCACCCUCGUCCUCACCAUCAACGGCAUCGGCCUCGUUAUUGAGGGCGCCUACAUCAUCAUCUUCAUCAUCUACGCGGCCAAGAACACAAGGUGGAAGAUGCUCGGCGUGCUCGCCCUUGAGGCGGCGUUCAUGGCUGUCGUGGUGGCUGGCGUGCUCCUCGGUGCCCACACCCAUGAGAAGCGCUCCAUGAUCGUAGGCAUCCUCUGCGUCAUCUUCGGCUCCAUCAUGUACGCCUCCCCGCUCACCAUCAUGGGUAAAGUGAUCAGGACCAAGAGUGUGGAGUACAUGCCGUUCUUCCUGUCGCUGGUGAACUUCCUCAAUGGCUGCUGCUGGACGGGCUAUGCGCUCAUCAAGUUUGACAUCUACAUCACGAUCCCCAAUGCCCUCGGUACAAUCUUCGGCCUCAUCCAGCUGAUCCUGUACUUUUACUACUACAGAUUGACCCCCAAGAAGGGCAAAAACGUCGAACUGCCCACUGUCCUCACCAAAAACGCCGUUACCAGCGGCAACGUCUCCGUCACCAUCGAAAAAUAA